GGGAGGAUGGAGGAGCGGGGAUUAUAGGGGUAACCCAAUCCUGGUGCCCGGGAGGGGGGUGGGGGGCUGGGAGCUACCACCCAGCCACUCAGGGACCCCAGGAGCCUCUGCCUACCCUGUCACAGGGCAGCGACGAGCCCUGCUCAAUGCCGGCUUUGUGUAGCCCGGGAUAAUGAUUUACAAACUUCAGGAAUCAGGAGGUGCGAAAAGAAGACGACCCUCUUAACCCGGCCAUUGUCUAUCCCCUGCCGGAACGCCCAGCAUGCCGCGGGCCUGUGCACCUGUGCACACGGAUGCUGUUUGAGGAUGCUCCAGGGUGGAAGAGAGAACCCAGCCGCAUCCUGAAUGGUGGCCCUCAGCCACUCCGGCCUCCAUGUCUCCUCUCCAGGCCUCAGUUUCCUCAAGUCUGAACCGACACAGAGCAACAGCUGAUGAGGAGCCUGAGGUACAGAGAAGGAAAGCAAUCUGUCCAAAGUCACACAGCAGGCAUGUAGCUCCAUACUGAUGAUUUUAGGAGCAUCCCUCACGGCCCAGAGCACUGGUUCCCAGUCCCAGAAAUGAAAGAAAAUCAUCCGGGGAGCUCGGGAAGCAUCCAGAUCUUCAGGUUCCUAAUUUCUGCAAAGCUGCCUGGGAGAUUCUCACAGAACCUUCACUAGCUCAGCUUUGGUGAACCUCUGGACACUGGCUUUGGGCAGGCUGGAGCAGAAGAGUGAGCACUGGGCCUGGAUCCUGACCUUAGUGCAUCUCUAGUGGCUGAAGUCCUCUGUGAAACAAGAGGGCUGAACUCCAUCGUCAAAUUCCCCACACUUUUUAGUGGUAGAAUUUUUCCUUCGGUCAGGUCUUAGGUACAGUCUGAGAUACAAAAUAGGUCAGAAGAGCUUUAUUGGGGGGCGCCUGGGUGGCUCAGUGGGUUGGGCCUCUGCCUUCAGCUCCGGUCAUGAUCUCCGGGUCCUGGAAUCGAGCUCCGAAUUGGGCUUCCCACCCCCCCCUGCCUGCCUCUCUGUCUACUUGUGAUUUCUCUCUCUGUCAAAUAAAUAAUUUUUUUUAAAGGGCUUUUUUUGGGGGGGUGGGGUUCAGGCUAUCUGCUCCUUGGCAGCCCCUGAGGCACAAUUUACUGAUUCUCUGAGCUCCAGUCAGAGCUGGAGAGCAUAGGCACAUGGUCAGAUAGCUUUGAGUUCUGUUAUGCUGGAUCCUCUUCCCAAGGCAGUGUCCCCUGGAAUGCGCCCCAGGCCCUGGUGUAGGUUCUGUAAAUCCUACUUCAGGAACACUCCAGGGACUUGCUCCGGACCCCAGUUCCAAGUCCUGGCGAGGCCUGAGUGCAGGUAACAUGGUAUGCAGUGGGUGGAGAGGGACCUGGGGCUGGACACACAGCUCCUUCCAGCUUGUCAGUUUCCUCUGCCUGCUUGCCGUCCUUGCUGGGGAGGGGGAAGUGACAUGUCCUAAAUGCUUGGGGGGAUCCUUGGACCUGUUGUCGGAGAUAGUACAGCAGGUGGCAGCCAUCCAUCUGAUGGGGGUGGGGGUUUGCUUCUACUUGAGCUGGGCCUUUGGCAUCUGGGAUUUGCUCUCCUUGCUUGCUUUGGGAUAACAAAAACUCCUCCACCAGGGCAGGCCCCUGGCAUUGGCUGAGUUUUUCCACGAGAGUCCUUCCUGAGACUGCAUCUUGGGGCACCCAUUUCACAGAUGAGACAAAUGAGGCUCGGAGAGAUCCAUGUGGAAUCAUGUGCUUUACAAAGGUGGUGAGACCAACCCUUGGACCUCAAAACAAGAGCUUCACCUGCUAGGGCCAGAAUCCUUUUGGAUGGGAGGAGACAUGCCUUGCAGAAGACAGACAGAUCCCUGACCUGACAGAGUCUGCACCCUACAGGAGGACGAUCUCAGUUGGAAGUGAAAUGGGUUUCCUGUCGGAGAUGCCUUGGACACUCUUUGGAGUUUACCCUCCUUGUCCAUAGGAUAGGAUAAUAAACACGAUUACCUCCCUGGCCUGGUUGAGAAUAGGAAGCAGGCGUUGGAGAGAAUUCAUGCAGGCACCUGCCACACGCUGUGCUUAGCCUCCAGUCCUGAUGAUAAUGCUGCAUGACAGAAACAACUCUCCCCAUUUUAUGGAGAAGGAUCCUGAAGACUGGAGAACCAAACCUGGAUCUCUCACCAGAGCUCAUGUUCUUCCCACUGCUUCUGGCUGCUUCCCUCUUACGGUCCUGGCCCUCAGUGUGCGGUUUGGCUUUGUUUUGAUUUGAUUUGAAGUCCCCAAGUGAGACAGAGCAAGACUGAAGCAAAGCCCGCCAAGCCGAGCCCCUCCCCUCCAGUGGCAAGCAGCCAAGGACCCCAGGAGGAAAGGCCAGGAUUUGUAACUCUAGGUGCGAGGACCCCUCUCUCUGACCGGCACAUGGAAAUGACACAGAUUCCUCUGCAUCUCCUCUGUGUGGUGGGAGUGGGGAGAAGAGAUAGUCCAUGGGGCCCACCCCCCAGCCCCUGCCUCCAAGGCUAGAUGCUGGCUGUUUCUGAGGGCCUCAUCGGGGUCCACGUUGAGGACCUGGCUGUCAGCUCGAGUCUGAAACCCUCUUCCCUUCCCAACACAGCCAUAUGGUUGCUCUGGCCACCCACAUGGGGCUGUGGCCUUGGACAGACAGAAGUCCUGGAGUCAAGAGGCUGGGCUCGAUGGGAGGACUGCUGGCUCCUGUGGGGAGACCUACCUGAGCCCCCAGGGUGGGUCCACUCAGGCCUGGCAAGGGAAGGGCCCAAGGGUAGGCCCACGUGGCUCCUAGGACCACCCCAUGAGACAGGGGCUACUGGGCCCCUGAGAGCGCUGUGGGGCCAAAGGGGAGGGUAGUAUUUUCUCAGCAGGAUUUAUGUGUGUGUGCGUGUGUGCGUGUGUGUGUGAGUGAGUGUGUGUGUGAGUGAGUGUUUAACAAGGAGUGGGGCCUGCCUGACUUCUGAGCCUGGAAUUUAUACAGCCCCUCGAUGGCGGCAGCCGUUUAUCUUGACCGAAAGAAUAAUAAACUCAGUUGACAGGA
This is a long non-coding RNA of Mustela lutreola (European mink), 3011 nucleotides long. RefSeq lists it as uncharacterized. The transcript has 4 exons. Lineage: Eukaryota; Metazoa; Chordata; Mammalia; Carnivora; Mustelidae. The record is from RefSeq and is a predicted model, not a curated record.